CAGGCCUAACACAUGCAAGUCGAACGAUGCUUUCGGGCAUAGUGGCGCACGGGUGCGUAACGCGUGGGAAUCUGCCCCUUGGUUCGGAAUAACAGCUAGAAAUGGCUGCUAAUACCGGAUGACGACGUAAGUCCAAAGAUUUAUCGCCGAGGGAUGAGCCCGCGUAGGAUUAGCUGGUUGGUGUGGUAAAGGCGCACCAAGGCGACGAUCCUUAGCUGGUCUGAGAGGAUGAUCAGCCACACUGGGACUGAGACACGGCCCAGACUCCUACGGGAGGCAGCAGUGGGGAAUAUUGGACAAUGGGCGCAAGCCUGAUCCAGCAAUGCCGCGUGAGUGAUGAAGGCCUUAGGGUUGUAAAGCUCUUUUACCCGGGAUGAUAAUGACAGUACCGGGAGAAUAAGCUCCGGCUAACUCCGUGCCAG
This 422-nucleotide ribosomal RNA is filed under the name uncultured bacterium. RNAcentral's name for it is "bacterial SSU rRNA". It matches the Rfam family "Bacterial small subunit ribosomal RNA", at positions 43 to 511 of the family's 1533-position model. The record is from RNAcentral.